UACGUAGGUGGCGAGCGUUGUCCGGAAUUACUGGGCGUAAAGGGUGCGUAGGCGGGAUAUUAAGUCAGAUGUGAAAACCCCGGGCUCAACCUGGGGAUUGCAUUUGAAACUGAUAUUCUAGAGUGCAGGAGAGGGAAGCGGAAUUCCUAGUGUAGCGGUGAAAUGCGUAGAUAUUAGGAAGAACACCAGUGGCGAAGGCGGCUUUCUGGACUGUAACUGACGCUGAUGCACGAAAGCGUGGGGAG
RNAcentral lists this ribosomal RNA (245 nucleotides) under uncultured Oxobacter sp. RNAcentral describes it as "partial 16S ribosomal RNA". It matches the Rfam family "Bacterial small subunit ribosomal RNA", at positions 524 to 768 of the family's 1533-position model. The record is from RNAcentral. Lineage: Bacteria; Bacillati; Bacillota; Clostridia; Eubacteriales; Clostridiaceae.